CACUGUGAGUUCUGUGACGCAGCUCGCA
This 28-nucleotide small RNA is filed under the name Bombyx mori (domestic silkworm). RNAcentral describes it as "ovarian small RNA-13067". The record is from RNAcentral. Lineage: Eukaryota; Metazoa; Arthropoda; Insecta; Lepidoptera; Bombycidae.